GAGUAGUGCAACACAACGUGCACCGCGCUGUAGGCUGUCAGAACCCUGGAUCACGUUAAACCCCUGUUCGUGCAUCUAGCAUAGUGCGUCGGAUAGAGUCAUACGCUGCAAGGCCGCAAAAUCGUAGAAGGAUGGGCCGUUCAGUUCUCUCUCACUUUCUCAAUCUCUCGAACCCCUCUCCACGCUUCACAUCUUCACUUGUAAUUUCAAGCAGGUCGUCUGGCGCAAUUCCAAGUAAAUUAUUGAAAAAAUCUGGAUCAAUUGAUCAGCAUUGUCUUCUAAACAGACAAAUCAGGACAGGUUUUCGAUGCUGUUGCAGUAUCUCGGUUUCGCAGCCUGCUGGCCAGGAGAGUUCUUCAAGCCCUCUGAGGAAGAGGAUAGUGUCUGGGGUUCAGCCAACUGGGACUAUACACCUAGGAAAUUAUCUUGGUGCUAUAAAAAAUUGGAUCCCACUUCAGAAUACAUAUGAUACUUUCUUCUUUAUUGUGGACCUCCAUGCGAUAACAUUACCUUAUGAAACACAACAAUUAUUUAAAGCAACGAGGGAUACAGCAGCGAUUUAUUUGGCAUGUGGUGUGGACACCUCCAAGGCCUCUGUCUUUGUUCAGUCUCAUGUUCGUGCCCAUUCAGAAUUGAUGUGGUUACUGAGUUCUGCUACUCCAAUUGGUUGGUUGAACAAAAUGAUUCAGUUCAAAGAGAAAUCCCGGAAAGUGGGAGAUGAAAAUGUUGGGGUUGCCCUUCUGACUUAUCCUGUUCUCAUGGCUUCUGAUAUUCUUUUAUAUCAGUCUGAUUUUGUCCCAGUUGGGGAGGAUCAGAAGCAGCAUCUGGAACUGACCCGUGAGCUGGCUGAACGUGUUAAUUAUUUAUAUGGAGGAAGGAAGUGGAAGAAAUUGGGAGGGCGAGGAGGUGCAAUUUUUAAGGUUCCUGAGCCCCUUAUUCCACCAGAAGGAGCACGUGUAAUGUCCCUUACAGAUGGUUGUUCCAAGAUGUCCAAGUCUGCUUCUUCAGAUCAGUCUCGUAUCAACCUUCUUGACCCAAAAGAUGUAAUUGCAAACAAGAUCAAACGUUGUAAAACUGACUCAUUUCCUGGCCUGGAAUUUGACAAUCCUGAGCGACCUGAAUGCAACAACCUUCUUACAAUUUAUCAGCUAAUGUCAGGCAGGACAAAAGAGGAAGUUGCGCAGGAAUGCCAAGGUAUGAACUGGGGUGUGUUCAAGAGAAUCCUAACGGAUGCAUUGAUUGAUCAUCUACAUCCCAUCCAGGUUCGCUACGAGGAAAUUAUGUCUGAUUCAGCUUAUUUGGAUAGGCUCUUGGCAGAGGGUGCCACAAAAGCUGCAGAUAUAGCUGAUGCUACUCUCAAUAAUGUCUAUCAGGCGAUGGGAUUCUUGCGAAGAUGAGCAGAACUGAUGCUGCAAUAAGAAUUUAUGUGGAAAGACCUCUAAGAAAGUGACCUUAAAACUAACUUUUGGAUGAUCCAUUGUUGCCCACAAGUUUUGGACUAUAUACAUAAGCAUAUUCUUGAUGAGAAAAAAGGUUAUGUGAUGGGUUGGCCCGAUAAAUUCAUUGAUGCAGUUGCCUCAGCCUCUCCUGUCUGGACAGAUGGGCAUGUAGUACUUGGUUUGAGUGUGGGUGUUUACUUGAUUUAUUGUUAACAAUGGUGCCUAAGCUACAAAAGGUUAAGUCUUAUAGUGUCUGAAGCUACAUCACAAUUAUGAUUAUGAGAUCUCUUUACCAGAAGAAUUUGUUUCAUAGGCAAGCAGUUGCAGACAAGAUAAUUUAUGAUAGCUCCCAACCCUAAUCUCCCAUUAGAAUUUCAGGUUUUUUAAUUUUGUGGAAACUUCAUUUGCCUAAUGGGUAAUAGUUUUGUGAAUUGCUCAUCUCAUUGUCUGCUUACUCUUCAGGUUCUUUUUACCAUUUGUUUCUUUAUUAUAUAUAUAUUAUGGAUUCCAUUUCCCACUUA
This is an RNA transcript of Vitis vinifera (wine grape), 1960 nucleotides long. It is a transcript of the gene named tryptophanyl-tRNA synthetase-like, with no coding region annotated. The record is from RefSeq and is a predicted model, not a curated record. The transcript is spliced from 16 exons. Lineage: Eukaryota; Viridiplantae; Streptophyta; Magnoliopsida; Vitales; Vitaceae.